Molecule: ribosomal RNA, 253 nt
Filed under: uncultured bacterium
Lineage: Bacteria
Description: partial 16S ribosomal RNA
Rfam family: Bacterial small subunit ribosomal RNA
Source: RNAcentral
UACGUAGGGUGCGAGCGUUAAUCGGAAUUACUGGGCGUAAAGCGUGCGCAGGCGGUUUUGUAAGCCAGAUGUGAAAUCCCCGGCUUAACCUGGGAAUGGCAUUUGGGACUGCAAGGCUUGAGUGCGGCAGAGGAGACUGGAAUUCCUGGUGUAGCAGUGAAAUGCGUAGAUAUCAGGAGGAACACCGAUGGCGAAGGCAGGUCUCUGGGCUGACACUGACGCUCAUGCACGAAAGCGUGGGAGCGAAACAACG